ACGUAGGGUGCGAGCGUUAAUCGGAAUUACUGGGCGUAAAGCGUGCGCAGGCGGUUUUGUAAGCCAGAUGUGAAAUCCCCGGGCUUAACCUGGGAAUGGCAUUUGGGACUGCAAGGCUAGAGUAUGGCAGAGGAGACUAGAAUUUCUGGUGUAGCAGUGAAAUGCGUAGAUAUCAGAAGGAAUACCGAUGGCGAAGGCAGGUCUCUGGGUCAAUACUGACGCUCAUGCACGAAAGCGUGGGGAGCAAACAGGAUUAGAUACCCUGGUAGUCCACGCCCUAAACGAUGUCAACUGGUUGUUGGGAGAUUUAUUCUCUUAGUAACGAAGCUAACGCGUGAAGUUGACCGCCUGGGGAGUACGGUCGCAAGAUUA
RNAcentral lists this ribosomal RNA (372 nucleotides) under uncultured bacterium. Its description in RNAcentral is "bacterial SSU rRNA". It matches the Rfam family "Bacterial small subunit ribosomal RNA", at positions 525 to 896 of the family's 1533-position model. The record is from RNAcentral.